Molecule: ribosomal RNA, 374 nt
Filed under: uncultured bacterium
Lineage: Bacteria
Description: partial 16S ribosomal RNA
Rfam family: Bacterial small subunit ribosomal RNA
Source: RNAcentral
CCUACGGGUGGCAGCAGUGGGGAAUAUUGGACAAUGGGGGGAACUCUGAUCCAGCGAUGCCGCGUGCGUGAAGACGUCUCUCGGUGUGUAAAGCUCUUUUUGCAGGGAAGAAAACGCAGAUACGUGUAUAUGUCGGACAGGCUAAUUACGUGCCAGCAGCCGCGGUAAUACGGAGGGGGCAAGCGUUAUCCGGAUUUUCUGGGUGUAAAGGGAGCGUAGUCGGUGUAGCAAGUCAGAGGUGAAAUGUCGGGGCUCAACCCCGGGACUGCAUUGGAAACUGUUGAACUGGAGAGCAGUAGGGGUAGGCGGAAUUCCUGGUGUAGCGGUGAAAUGCUUAGAGAUCAGGAGGAACACCAGUGGCGAAGGCAGCUUAC